UUGCCCUGCGAAACCUCUGUAUAUGAAAAGUUGGCCGUCCAUGUACAUGGGUUUCCCAUCCUGUCACAGAAUUUUCCACACUCCUUGACGGAGGUGCUUAACCCUUAUCCAUCAGCAUUCUCAGACAGCACCUCCGGUUAGGGACAGUAUCUGACCGUCCGACAUCCCUGCAGCCCCCAUGUGUCACACAGACUCAGCCUCAGGUAGAUGGUUUCCGUAGAUGGUGGCUUUCUUUGGACCCUUGACAUCAACCAGUUACUAUUUGACUCUUCUGCAGAACCCCCUGUUGACCCCUGCUUUGAGGUGGCAGAGUUAACACUACUCUUCGUUAUAAGCUCUCGUCUGGGGCAACUCAGAAGAACGGGACCAGAUGUGCAGAGGUAAUGAAUACCAGGGAAUCAGGAAACCACUGGAUCAGUUCUUUGAGCCACAGAACAACACUCAUCCCAGCAGCUGGGAAGCUAUCUGCAAAAGUCCAUCUGCAGAAAGGGCUUCCUGGUCUUGCGUGUGGCUGGGCCAUUUCUCUGGAUGCAGGUUUUUCAUUAUACAGUCUUCUCAAAGAAACACCUGCUCUCAACACCUUCUCGGUGACUCCAUUUCCCCUCCUCU
Molecule: non-coding RNA, 609 nt
Filed under: Pan troglodytes (chimpanzee)
Lineage: Eukaryota; Metazoa; Chordata; Mammalia; Primates; Hominidae
Source: RNAcentral